Anneissia japonica is the source of this 853-nucleotide long non-coding RNA. RefSeq lists it as uncharacterized. Lineage: Eukaryota; Metazoa; Echinodermata; Crinoidea; Comatulida; Comatulidae. The record is from RefSeq and is a predicted model, not a curated record. The transcript is spliced from 2 exons.
UGCCCAACGUCGCCAGUUUUGAAUAAACGAGCAGGACAUUUUGUACACAUAAACUAGAGAGUCGACUUUAAAAGGAAUAUUUCCAGCGUUUACUUCAGCGCUGUUGUUUGCUGUUAGUCUUGUUGCCCUGGCAGUUGGAUGUGUUUUCUGGGUCAAGGGUCGGGCAAAUUCCCGAUUUGUCUACCAAAGAAUUGGAAAACAACGUGGACGAAAUGUAAAACAACAACACUAAGCUGUGAACUGAAAAGUCUUUCGCUUUUAUUAAAGAUUCUAUUUGCGUAAUACAUUUAGUAGAUUAAUAGUUGGAUUUAAAAAAAAUUAUAUUCUAUAGUUGCAUUACCGAUUAUGCUAUUAGUUUUAAACUUUUGCCGCCUUUUUAUAAAAGGCACAUACAUAUAUUUAUUAAUCUUGGCCUUGUUUUGAAAUGAGGAUGAUUGUUAUUAUUAAUUAUUUCAAAUACUUUAUAUUUAAUGUACUAACAUUUUGAUUCACUUAUAAUUAUUUUGAGUUAUUGAAAUUUUGAGCCCAUUGAUAUUAGCAAAUUUUUUUAUUUACACUGUCUUACUGCAUGUCCAAUGCCUGAUUUUCAUAAAAUCGCUACGCGCUAUCGCUGACAGCUUUUGGCCAAGCUGAUUAUUAGUUAAAUCAGGGCACCUUUCUGAUUGUGUAGGGACAACUACGCAAUGUAUCGAUUGCAGUGAACACAGUGUAGUGACUGGGAGCGAUUUUAAGGAAGCCAGGCUUCCAGGUACAGAGAUACAGAAUAUUUGUGAGUAUUGCACUGUGUAACUGAACGAAAUUGUUUCAUUUUAAUUAGUAAAGUAUUAAAAUAAAUAAAUAAUACUGCUAAUCA